This 9705-nucleotide long non-coding RNA is filed under the name Sorghum bicolor (sorghum). RNAcentral describes it as "long non-coding RNA (SBIC_LNC016869)". The record is from RNAcentral. Lineage: Eukaryota; Viridiplantae; Streptophyta; Magnoliopsida; Poales; Poaceae.
GAAUACGCUCCGGAAGAAUCUGAUCCCCAGUGGGUUUCUUCCGAGUUUGUGGAUCCUUCGAGUGUUGUUGAGUUGCCGAACUUCCCUUCCGGUCAAGGCAAGCCCCGGACAUUAAACCCUAUCCUUGUAUUUUCAUAAAGUUAUUUAUAUCACUUGAGUUAAUAUGAUGCAUUAGGUGAAUAGGAGUUGAAUGAAUCCUAUUUGCUGCAUUAUCUACCUUGAUGAUUUCAAUAUUAACCUUGAUACUUGCUUUAUGAAAAUGCUUAGUAUGCUUAGCCCUGCUCAUUAGAUAAGUUUUCAAAUGAGAAAGUUUGAAGGGUUGUUGUGGAAUACUUUUAUGGUUAAUCAUGUUUAAACUUGCGACCGGUCGGUGGACUUGCUUUAAGAAUGGAGUCUUAAAGUAGUGUCUCCAACUGUGUCGAUUAAGGACCGUACCGUUGAUUGACCUGUUGUGAUUGAGACCUUUGAGUACAGCCCACAUGCGCUGGUAAGCCUUACCUAUAGCUAUUCCGAUACUUGAGAACGGCUAACCGCGUACUGGGAGUGGAGAGAUGGCGAGAGUAGCGUGUACCCACCUUACGGAUCUGAGAUGACCGGGAAACAUCUAGAUUGGCUGUAGGAUGGUGGUGUGCUGUACUCUCGGGUGACGCUGGACCCGUUCUUGUAUGGGAGGAUCUAUAGAAAAGGUUGACAUAUGCAAGAUUAAGUUCUACAUAUGUCGUGUGGUACUGAAUCCCCAGCUGGGUUUAAUCGAUUCGAAUCGCCGUGUUUCCUCGGAUAUGGAGCCUCAAUCCUCGUACCAUCAUCGUAGUAAUAAGUGAAUCUUUGGUUUAAGAAAGAGGUGGUAUGAUUAUGAAAGUUUGAUGAUAAUUUUGGUUAGUCAUAAAUGAUGACCUUGAGUUAAAACUUGAAAGUAGGUUUUACUCUUAGUAAGCUUUUAUGCAAAAAGAAAUGCUUUGAUCUUGUUAAAGCUUUACCUUGAAUCCCCAUAGCCUGCAUACCUGAGUCUUCACCUCUUUUAUAGUCGGUUAAGUCUUGUUGAGUACUUUUGUACUCAGGGUUUUAUUAACCCAUGUUGCAGGUGAACCUCUUGAUAAUCCUUUUGAUGGUCAUGGUUACUUUACUCUUGUGGAGGAGAGUAAUGAUGAUGAUGAAUCUGAUGAGUGACUUUGGGCAAGUAAAAUUUGUUGUGUGAUCUAUGGUUUAUGUAAUAUAAAGUUCCGAAGCUUUUAUGUAUCAAAUACUUAUGGUUUGUAAACUAUGAACUUAAGUUUCAAUCUAUGUUAUGUAACCUUUCCGCUUUUACUCUGAUUUCUCUUAUCUAUGAAAUGUUGUAAUACUGUGAUGCUUGAUGAGGGAAUUCCUGAAAAGAAUGUUACGUGGAUGAUUCGGGUUUCCCGAGGACACCCGACAGACUUCUUGAGUCAUUUGGAACUCGUGCACGUCGAUCAGAAGUCUUUGGGACAAUGAUGUGUGCAUGUGGGCCACUUAAUUCAGGAGGUUCUGCCACAGCUGGUAUCAGAGCAGGUUUCCCUUAGAAAGUAUAACAGUAUUUAUUUAAAAAUUUCAAAAGCUUUUGAGUCAAACCAAAUUUCAAAUUAGUUUGAGUCCAAAUUGCUUCUAAGCUCGUCUUAUGCUUCUAACUUGUCUCAAUUCAUUCUUUAGACUUAUCCUUCUCUCUAAAUGGAUAUGUUCUUAGUAUAAUUAUGGUGAUAUUUAUAUACAAGGAACGAUGCUUAUAAUAUUAUAAUAUUGCCCUAAUUAUGAAAAGAAAGUUUAUGCACUUUUAUGUUAAGUGACUAAAUUAAAGCUAAUUAAUUGUUUGAUGUAUGCUUUGUUCGUAAGUACGUUUCAUGCAUCAUUAUUGAAAACAUGUAAUAGACUUUCCUCCUUAAAGUUGUUAAUAAUUAGAGGUAAUAUGUUUAUCUAAUUGUAAAACUCUAUCCUUUAACCUUGGAACAUAUAUAGUUCUAAUAUUCAAAAUAAAAAUAUUUUGGCAGAUGGCUCGUACCCGCCUAACCGCUCGCAAGUCCACCGGAGGUCGUGUCCCAAGGCACCAGUUGGCAUCAAGGGAUCCGCCACCCUCCGACAGCAGCGACAGCAGCACUGACAACUCCAGCGAUGGAAACGGGAGUGACACCAGCGGAGGUCCUCCUUCGCCAAGGACCUACAGGCUUAUGAAGAAUGAUAUGCGCCUGAUGCUCACUGACAACAUCAACAUGGAAGUUCAGCUGUACCAUAUGGCGGGGUAUGUGGUCAAUCUUGAGGCCUAUACCAACAUCCUCCAUGAGGAAGUGCACCAGCUGCAGGAUGCCCUCAAUCCACCUGAGGCUCCUGAAGCAGCAGAGGAAGGACCAGUUGUCAUCCAAGUGGAUAGUGAUACUUCUGAGGAUGAAGCAGAAGAACCAGGAACCCCCACUCCAGAUGAGGAUGUUACCACCAGUGAGUCGGAUAUGGAUGACGACUAGGUGUUGAGAAGGCAAGAAGUAUGACCUAGUGUGAUCUUCUGACUUUGUAACUUAGUUAGUCAGAAAACCUCUAGUAUGGGAAGUGUGUAAGAUAGUGGUUUCGGUAGUCCUGCCCAGGAGCGGACUUGUAUGAUAAAUAAGAUGAACUGUUUGUGCUAUGUAAGCCAUGAUGUAUGAUGUUUAAGUAAGUAUGUUAAUCGAAGUGUGAUGUGUUUUUAAACAGAUGUCUGCUAACAACCAUGGAGCUAGUUCUUCCCAGGGUGGGGAUGAUUUUCCUAAUGCACCACCAGUUCCACCCUCUUUGGCUGAUGCAAUUGCAGCAUUGGUCAAUGCAACAACUUUGUUAGCACAGAAUCAGAAUGUUGGUCAGCGUGGCCGUGGUCGAAAUAACCGAGAAGAAACCACAUAUGUUGACUUCACAGAUACUCGUCCCCCAGUAUUCACAAAAGCUGAUGAACCUCUCGAAGCUGAGGAUUGGCUUCGCACUAUGGAGCAAAAGUUCAGUCUCAUCAACUGUACUGAAACCCAGAAGCCAGUUUUCGCCGCUCAGCAGCUGAGAGGAGCAGCAGGAGUUUGGUGGGAAAACUUACUGGCUGUUCAACCAGCCCGCCACCGAAUCACUUGGGGAGAAUUCAAGGAAGCCUUCAGGGCUCAUUACAUUCCCAAGGGAGUUAUGAAAAUGAAGCUCGAAGAGUUCUUAGCUCUCCGUCAGGGGGAUGAAACAGUCAUGCAGUAUAUUGGAAAGUUUAAUCAUCUGUCCCAAUAUGCAAUUGAGCAAGUCAACACUGAUGAAAAGAAGAAGGAAUGUUUCAUGAGAGGCUUGAAUACAAAGCUCCAGCUAAUGAUGGCAUCAUGUGGCAAUAUAUCUUAUCAUGAGGCAGUGAACAUUGCUAUCUCCAGUGAAGAAAAGAAUCGCAAACAUAAGGAGGCUAAGAAGAAGAGGGGUUUUGUCUCAGGGUCUGGAUCAUCUGGCGGCAACAAGAAGCGUCAGAGGCUUGUAUAUCAUCCAGCUCAGCAGUUCCGCCCAUCUUAUCGUCCUUCUUAUCAGCCGCCUCAGCAGCAGAAUAUGCAGAGGAAUUUUGCAAGGCCGACAAUGCCAUUCAAUGUUCAGCGUCAGCCGAAUGUUCCUGCCAUUCGUCCGCCAAUGCCACAAGCUGCAAACAACCCUUGUUACAAUUGUGGGAAGAGUGGACAUUUUUCUCGUGAAUGUCCAUAUCCAAGGCAAAAUGUCCCAAAUGUCAAUGCACCAAGACUAGUUGGAAAUCAGCAAGCAAAUCAAAACAAAGGUAAUGCCCAGAAUCAGCAGAAGGGUAAGGGUACUCAGAAAACAGGAAGGGUUUUUCAUACUCAAGUUGAAGCUAUACCUGAGGGAGAACCAGUGAUGCUUGGUAUGUUCCCUGUUGCCCAACACUCAGCGCUUACACUUUUUGAUUCUGGUGCAUCACAUACUUUCAUGAAUAGAGCAUUUGCGGAAAAGCAUAAUAUACCUAUUGGUGCAACCAAAGAUGAGUUCUUUAUACAGUCACCUGGGGGUCGACUAUGCACUAAGGAGAUGGUACAUCAGGUACCAAUAGACUUGGGUGGAUAUAUAUUUCCAACAUCCAUGAUAGUGUUAAAAGAUCCAAGUAUAGAUGUGAUCUUGGGUAUGAACUGGAUGAGUCAGAGAGGUGCAGUUAUAGACACCUUAAAUAGAACCAUCAAGGUCAACUUACCUAAUAGCAAGUCUCAACUUCUUAUCCAUCUUCCUACCCUUAAGAGAGCAGUUGAGCAAGUAUGUGCUAUCUCUGUCAAGGAAAUCAAGGACAUUCCAGUGGUCUGUGAGUUUCCUGAUGUGUUCCCAGAGGAUUUACCUGGUCUGCCACCUGAUCGUGAUGUGGAGUUUGAAAUAGAGCUCAAGCCAGGGACAGCACCAAUAUCCAGAAGAGCUUAUAGAAUGCCACCAAAAGAAUUAGCAGAACUAAAAACUCAGUUGCAAGAAUUGAUGGAUAAAGGUUUCAUUCGACCUAGUUCAUCACCAUGGGGUUGUCCGGCAAUCUUUGUGAAGAAAAAGGACAAUACCUUGAGGCUAUGUGUGGACUAUCGUCCUUUGAAUGAAGUAACAAUCAAGAAUAAGUAUCCUUUGCCCCGUAUUGAUCUUCUCUUUGAUCAACUAACUGGUGCUAAGGUAUUUUCGAAGAUAGACUUGAGAUCUGGGUAUCAUCAAAUUAAGAUCAAGCCAAAAGAUGUUCCGAAAACAGCAUUCACUACCCGAUAUGGUCUGUAUGAAUAUCUGGUCAUGUCUUUUGGUCUGACAAAUGCCCCAGCACAUUUUAUGUACUUGAUGAAUUCAGUGUUUAUGCCAGAGUUAGAUAAAUUCGUGGUGGUAUUCAUUGAUGACAUUCUCAUCUAUUCCAAAACUAAAGAAGAACAUGAAGAGCAUCUCAGGAUAGUGUUGACUCGCCUGAGAGAACAUCAGUUAUAUGCUAAGUUUAGCAAGUGUGAAUUCUGGAUAGAUGAAGUUCAAUUUUUGGGUCAUGUCCUGUCAGCUGAAGGUGUUGCAGUAGAUCCAAGCAAAGUUCAGGAAGUUCUUGACUGGAAGUCACCAACUUCAGUACAUCAAGUUCGGAGUUUCUUAGGAUUAGCGGGGUAUUAUCGCAGGUUUAUCCCUGACUUCUCCAAGAUCUCUAAACCAAUGACAACACUGCUGAAGAAUGAUACCAAGUUUGUGUGGUCAUUCGAGUGUGAAGAAGCUUUUCGGACUUUGAAAAAGUUGUUGACCACUGCACCCGUGCUAGCUCAACCUGAUAUUGAAAAAUCUUUUGAUGUGUAUUGUGAUGCUUCAGGCAAAGGCAUUGGGUGUGUACUAAUGCAAGAAGGCAGAGUCAUUGCAUAUGCUUCACGACAACUUAAGCGUCAUGAAGAGCAUUAUCCAACCCAUGAUCUAGAGUUGGCAGCUGUAGUCCAUGCUCUGAAGAUCUGGCGACUUUAUCUAUUGGGCAAUACUUGUCACAUAUAUACUGAUCAUAAGAGUUUGAAAUACAUCUUUACUCAGUCAGAGUUGAAUAUGCGCCAGAGAAGAUGGUUAGAACUGAUAAAAGAUUAUGAUAUUGAGGUACAUUAUCACCCAGGCAAAGCCAAUGUGGUGGCAGAUGCACUCAGUCGAAAGAGUCAUUGCAAUUGUCUGGAAGUCAAGCCUAUAGACCUUACCUUAUGUUAUGAAUUUGAAAAGUUAGGUCUUGAGAUGAUUCCACAAGGGAGUUUGACAAAUAUGACAGUUCAGUCAUCUAUCAAAGAUCAGAUUAUUACAGCCCAGCAAGAAAAUAAGGGUAUAAUCUUUUUGAAAAGAAAGGUUCAGUCUGAACCAAAUUCUAAGUUCAGAAUAGAUGAAGCUGGAGUGAUUUGGUUCAAGGAUCGUUUAGUAGUUCCAAAAGUCCCUGAACUCAGAAAACAAAUUCUUGAUGAAGCUCAUGCAACAAGACUUUCAAUCCAUCCAGGUAGUAAUAAGAUGUAUCAUGAUCUAAAACAAAGAUUCUGGUGGACUAAGAUGAAGCUUGAAAUUGCUAGUUAUGUGGCUAGAUGCGAUACUUGUCAAAAAGUGAAAGCAGUUCAUCUUAGGUCUGCUGGAGAAUUGCAACCGUUGCCAAUUCCAUCUUGGAAAUGGGAUGACAUUAGUAUGGACUUCAUAGUAGGUUUACCCAGAACAUCGAGAGGGUUUGAUUCCAUAUGGGUCAUUGUUGAUCGCCUAACCAAAUCGGCCCAUUUCAUUCCAGUAAGAAAGGAUUAUCGAGCUUCUGACUAUGCUAAGAUAUACUUUAACAGAAUUGUGAGUCUACAUGGUGUUCCAAAGACUAUUGUAUCUGAUAGAGGGACACAAUUUGUGAAUGCUUUCUGGAAGCAUCUGCAUAAGUCCUUGGGUACCAAACUUCUGCAUAGUACAGCUUAUCAUCCACAGACUGGAGGUCAGACUGAAAGAGUCAAUCAGAUCUUAGAAGAUAUGUUAAGAUCUUGUGUGCUCAGUUAUUCAGAGAAGUGGCACGAAUGUUUGCCUUUAGCAGAAUUCUCUUAUAAUAAUAGUUAUCAAGAGAGCAUUAAGAUGGCACCAUUGGAAGCUUUAUAUGGCAGAAGGUGCAGAACACCCUUGAAUUGGUCAGAACCUGGAGAACAUAGUCUCUUCGGGGUUGACUUAGUCAAAGAAACCGAAGAAAAAGUCAGGCUCAUUCGAGAGAACAUGAAGAUAGCACAGUCCAGGCAAAAGAGUUAUGCUGAUAAGAGACGUCGAUCUCUUACCUUUGAGGCUGGUGAUUAUGUAUACCUCAAAGUGUCACCUAUGAAAGGAGUAACUCGUUUUGGAGUAAAAGGAAAGUUGGCACCUCGAUAUAUAGGUCCAUAUCAAAUCCUUGAAAGAUGUGGAAAGGUGGCAUAUCGUCUAGAUUUACCACCACAGUUGUUAUCAGUACACAAUGUGUUCCAUGUCUCUCAAUUAAAGAAAUGUCUUCGAGUGCCUGAUCAUAUCAUUCAUGUUGAAGAAAUUGAGUUAAAGCCUGAUCUAACAUAUUCAGAGUAUCCUAUCAAGAUUUUGGAUCAAAAAGAUCGAGUCACUCGUAGAAGAACUAUCAAAUACUACAAGGUGCAAUGGAAUCAACAUACUGAAGAUGAAGCCACGUGGGAAUCCGAAGAGUUUCUCUUAGAAAGUUUUCCUGAGUUCCUUUCUUCUAUGCUAUCCUUGUAAUCUGUAGUGUUAUGAUCUACCCCUGUUUUUGUAAAAGUUGGUUUUGGAAGUGCUUGAUAAACUUCCUUUUCCAUUAGUUAGCCUUCAAGUUAAAUCUCGGGACGAGAUUUCUUUAAGGGGGAAAGAGCUGUAACACUCUCGUGUUAAGCGAACUAAAACAUGACAUGUCAUCAUGAGCAUUGCAUAGUUUAUUGUUAAGUAAACCCUGAUGCAUUAACUUAAAAUAAGUUUAACUUUGGUUGAAUGUGCUUAAGAAUUUAAAGUGUGUUUAAUUUAUGUAUGGAUGUUUAUUUUGGAGUUUAAAAACCUUGGGUGAAACUUAGGGGGGGAACCCUAGUUUUCAAAACCCUAGAUUUGUCCCCUUUUGUGCAAUUCAAAAACCAAGCAAAAUUUGAAGUUGAGUUCAAAAGCAAAGUUGUAGAUCUUGUCAAGAUGUACAACUUUGGUGUUUUGAGUUUUUGAAGAUUCAGUACAAAAUCCAAAGUAAUUUUAAAAAUACAGAUUUCCGGAAAGUGUCCCCUUUUCAAACUUAAAUCCCCAAUUCAAAAUCUGUUUGGAAUUUUGCAAAAUGGUCAACAUGAAAGUUGUAGGGCUUGAAAAGUUGAACAACUUUCAUGUUGGGAGUUUUUCAAGUUGUUAUACGAAAUCAAAAGUAAUUUUGGGAAUUCUGUUUUGCCCCAAUUCAAAAAUUUGGAAUUUCUUUGAUUUGAGUUUGAAUUUCAAAAUUGUUUGGGUAAAUUCACUAGUUUCCACUCAGAUUUGGCUCUGGCCACCAAAAGAUGUUUUGUAGCUCACAAAAUUUUGUACAACUUUUAUUUUGAUGAAAUUUUGACUUCUAUUCAAAGUUUGGUUGCAUUUCACAAAAAGACAGAGAGUACUUUGGGAAAAAGGGGGGGAUAAGCUUUGGCUCCUGUUCAUGGCGGUGGUCAGCCGAGAGUUGAUCGGUGAAUGCCAGCGCAUGGCCACCGUUUUACCCCGUCCACGCGCGUGUUCACGUCCGUGACGAUGUGGAGCACCUGCUGGCAACCAGGAGCACGACGUGCCCUUCUAUACUGCGAGCACCGACCUCUUUUCUGCCACCGGAGCACCAAGGAGCAGCACCUCGUCCCCAUCCAAAUUGGCCGUGCUCGAUCCUCCUCGCAUCAAAUUGAGCUGUCCACUAUGUCCGCCACCUCCUUGCGAACCCAGAGCACCACCAAGCUCACUCCAUAACCCUCUCAAUCGCCGGGACGUCACCAUCUUCUCCAUCUCCGGCCGAAACGCCGCCGCGAGCACCUCACCGUGGCCAGCAUCACCCCGAGCUUCUCCGACGCUGCUUCUUGUUCCUUUGGGAUCGCGGUGAGCCACUGAUGCUCUUGCGCUGCUCAAUUCGCGCUCUACUCAAGCGUAGUGGCCGGCAUUGGCUCGGCCGGGGUGGCCGUCCGCCGCGUCCAUGGCCGUGGCAGCUAGGGUAGGGGAGAGCGGGUGUAAAGGAGGUCUACGGGUGCGCAAGGAUCUGGGGAAGCUAGCGCGCCUCGCUGCGGAAGCCGGGAGCUCACCGGUGUUGCGGUGGAGGUCGCCGGAGCGGUGGCGCGAGGUAGAAGGCGAAGCUGACGGGCGGGACCCGCCCAUCAGUGUCUGCGUGAGGUGAGGGGCAGCGCGCGGUCCGCGCGGGGGAGCUCUCCCGAGCUGGUUUGGGCCAAACGCGUGGGCCGAGCUCCUGGGCCGCAGUGGCACAGUGCUGUCUUGUUUUUCUUUUUCUUUUAUGCAGUUUUUGUUUUAUAUUUGAAAUUGUGUAGUAAAUUUUGUGCUGAUCCAAAAAUUAUGAAAAUUUUUGUGUGGGUUCCAGAGAAUGUAAAGAGUGUAGGAAAAAUAUUAAAUUUUAUUUUAUGUUAGUUUGCAUGUAUCUAUAAAUUGCCUCUGUUUAUUAAUGAAUAAACCUUCCAUGAUUUUUAGUAAAUUAUGGGUAUAUCCAAAAAUUAUGAAAUUUAAUAUGUGAUCUUAUGUUACUGUUAUCUAGCUUCAAGAAUAAUUUCAGCUCUGUUUGAUAAAGUAUGCUCUGUCUCUUAAUAAAGCUAUUUAAAAUAAUUAUAAAAGAAAUAGAAAUAAUUAUUCCUUUAGGCUUUGUGUGAUAUUUUAGAUUGAUUGGCAACCAAUGGUUACUUAGCAUGAUAUGCUCCCUGGUUAUGAUUUAUUUUAUAUAUAUGAUCUUUAUUGUUUGAUAGAUACCCAAUAUUGCUUAAUGAAAAUAAUAAAACUUGUUUAGAAAUAAUCUAUGUUUUUGGGUAGCUAAGUUAGUUGUUUCUAUACCGUGAAGGUAAAUUGUACUCGAGAUAGUUAUGUUUAUUGUUGUCAUCCAAGAACAUGUAACCUGUCUUUACCAUGCCAUGAGUAUAUCAUAAUCAUGCAUAUGCACUUUUACGUAUAGAAUACGCUCCGGAAGAAUCUGAUCCCCAGUGGGUUUCUUCCGAGUUUGUGGAUCCUUCGAGUGUUGUUGAGUUGCCGAACUUCCCUUCCGGUCAAGGCAAGCCCCGGACAUUAAACCCUAUC